AUAACUUCGGGAAACCGGAGCUAAUACCGGAUAAUAUUUCGAACCGCAUGGUUCGAUAGUGAAAGAUGGUUUUGCUAUCACUUAUAGAUGGACCCGCGCCGUAUUAGCAAGUUGGUAAGGUAACGGCUUACCAAGGCGACGAUACGUAGCCGACCUGAGAGGGUGAUCGGCCACACUGGAACUGAGACACGGUCCAGACUCCUACGGGAGGCAGCAGUAGGGAAUCUUCCGCAAUGGGCGAAAGCCUGACGGAGCAACGCCGCGUGAGUGAUGAAGGUCUUCGCAUCGUAAAACUCUGUUAUUAGGGAAGAACAUACGUGUAAGUAACUAUGCACGUCUUGACGGUACCUAAUCAGAAAGCCACGGCUAACUACGUGCCAGCAGCCGCGGUAAUACGUAGGUGGCAAGCGUUAUCCGGAAUUAUUGGGCGUAAAGCGCGCGUAGGCGGUUUUUUAAGUCUGAUGUGAAAGCCCACGGCUCAACCGUGGAGGGUCAUUGGAAACUGGAAAACUUGAGUGCAGAAGAGGAAAGUGGAAUUCCAUGUGUAGCGGUGAAAUGCGCAGAGAUAUGGAGGAACACCAUUGGCGAA
RNAcentral lists this ribosomal RNA (589 nucleotides) under Staphylococcus haemolyticus. Its description in RNAcentral is "bacterial SSU rRNA". It matches the Rfam family "Bacterial small subunit ribosomal RNA", at positions 143 to 719 of the family's 1533-position model. Lineage: Bacteria; Bacillati; Bacillota; Bacilli; Caryophanales; Staphylococcaceae. The record is from RNAcentral.